AGGUGAGGUAGCUGUGGCUUGUUCUGUCUAUCUGAUCUACCAGCAUUGACCCCAAUAACUAGCCUCAGGUUUGAUUUUAUUAAUAAGAACUUUUAAGAUUCAUGCUGCAGUUGGGGGACAGAAACAAGCCAGGGCUGACAGAGGAGGACGGGCCAAAAGGGAUGGACUGAAACAGCCAUGAGAAGUGGGAGAGCCCGGGAAACAGAUUCUCCAACACAGCCUCCAGGAGGAGCCAGCCCUGCGGACACAGUUCAGGCUUCUGACAUCUAAAACUCUAGGGAAAAAUGUGUGAAGGGUGUUUUAUCACAGCCACAGAAAUGAAAGCGGGAUAAAGUAUUCGGAGGCAGAUGUACUUCCCUGGUUACGGAGAAGCACUGAGGUGGCAGGGAUCUCGGCUGCUGCCCCCCAAAUGAGCACUAGUAGAUACCGCCAUGGUGCCUCCCCUCUUCCACAGAGACUACUGUGGGGACCCUCGUUUGGUGCCAAGGGCUUCUGUCUUCAGAUUGGCCUCCCCACGUCUCUCAUUGUUGGGAGCUGCUGCUUUCCUGUGCUCCCCUUUAGGAUGGCUGCCCCCGGCGCUGCAUUGCCCUCUGCGUGGCACCAGUGCAGCAAGGACGUGAAGGGAUCCCACACCGAGAGUGAGCGUUCAUUCGUAGCGAAGACACCCAAGGCCCAGAGAGCACUGAGCCCAACCUCACCCAUGCCUCCUCCCAUUUGCUGCCACCAAGAAUGUGCAGAGUUCCAGGGGGGCUGCAGAGUGGACUGGACCCCCAGCCCCAGCGGUGGCACAGGUGACUGAAGACAAGGAGGUCACCUAAGUCUAACGUCCAUUUGGCACAUGAGUUGGACACAAGAGUGCUGGUCUUGAAGACCCUCCGCCUCGAACAGCACCCUCUCUGUUUCCUGCAAAUCCCUGGAACCGGCCUUGAGGACCUGCUGUGGAGCCUUCAGAUGCUCUCAGGAUGAGCACAGCCUUCCAGCUACACCCAUAGAGCCAGACGAGGUGGAGGGGGGGGGCAAAUGGGCAAAUGAGGGUUUUACAUCUCACCCCUCACUUAAACAGUGGGGUGGCUCAGCAACCCUCUCCUCGAGGUGUUAUGGGGGUCUGGGCACUACUCAACCUAGAACCCCGAGCCCAGGCCACCUUGCCUGCUCUCACAGCUCUAUCUAACCCCUGUCAGCUGCUGUUUCUCUGCAGGCCAGGAUAGUAACCAGCACACUAUUGGUCCUCACAGAUGGAUUGCUCAGUAAAUACCCUAGAACAGAGCCUGUCAGUUACUUCUGUAAAUAAAAUUUUACCAGAACACAGCUGCACAUGUUGGUUGCUUGCAACGUUGUCCCCGGCUCCCUCUCAGAGACUAGCCUGGAGCUGACAGGCUGCAGCAGAGACACCACAGCCAGCCGGACCGAUUUUCUGUUGCUCAAGUGUUGGCUGAGGCUGUACAUUGCAGAGUUCCUCAAUAGGGAAGGGGAGGCAGAGGCUCGCUGCUCACCAAUAUCAUGUGAUAUUAAAUCACAUCUGCACCUCAGUUUUCUGCCUAUUCAAACUUGGGGCAAGUCUCUAAGUUUCCCUUGGGAUUUAAACCCCUAGUAGCUGUGUGUUCAGGAUUGAAUUCUACCUGUCAUGAUGUCCUUUCUCGCACCCAUCAGGCUCUAGCUGACAUUCAGAAAGUGAGUGCUACAAGAGCUGGGAGAAGCCUGGAGCCCGCUGCACACCACUGGUGGGCAAGCCAGAGGGAACAGGCCUGUGGGAAACAGCACAGGGGUUCUCAGAGCGUUUAAAGCAGGGUGCAGACAUCUUAGCCAGCAGAGAAAUGCCAACCCAAACUGGUUUGUGAUUCUAUCCCACCCCAGUCAGAGUGGCCACCAUCAAGGGAGCAGAAUAUAAAUGCUGGUGAGGAUGUAAGGGAAGAGGAGCCCUUGUUCACUGCUGGUGGGGUGUAAACUUGUGCAGCCACAACGGAAACCAGUGUGGAGAUUUCUCAUAAAGUGAAAAACAGAAUUACCAUGUGACCCAACUCUGCCACUCCUGGGCAUCUGCCCGAAGGCCUCCAAGUCCACAUAUCACAGAGAGGCUCAUGCAGCCACGUCUAUUGCAGCUCUAGCCAGCAAAUGGAAGUAGCCUAGUUGUCAAUAAGUAGAAGAUGGACAAUGAAAAUAUGGUGCUUAUGCACGGUGGCAUUUUAUGCAUCCAUAAAGAAAUCAUGACAUUUGCAGGAAAAUGGAUGCAACUGAGAUGAUUGCGUUAAAUAAA
Non-coding RNA from Peromyscus maniculatus bairdii (prairie deer mouse), 2254 nucleotides. The record is from RefSeq and is a predicted model, not a curated record. NCBI's taxonomy places the organism in Eukaryota, Metazoa, Chordata, Mammalia, Rodentia, Cricetidae.